CCUACGGGGGGCAGCAGUGGGGGAUAUUGCACAAUGGGGGGAACCCUGAUGCAGCGACGCCGCGUGGGCGAUGGAGUACUUCGGUAUGUAAACCGCUUUCAGCGGGGAAGAUAAUGACGGUACCUGCAGAAGAAGCCCCGGCUAACUACGUGCCAGCAGCCGCGGUAAUACGUAGGGGGCAAGCGUUAUCCGGAUUCAUUGGGCGUAAAGCGCGCGCAGGCGGGCCGCUAAGCGGGACCUCU
This 242-nucleotide ribosomal RNA is filed under the name uncultured bacterium. RNAcentral's name for it is "partial 16S ribosomal RNA". It matches the Rfam family "Bacterial small subunit ribosomal RNA", at positions 338 to 597 of the family's 1533-position model. The record is from RNAcentral.